Mus musculus (house mouse) is the source of this 2276-nucleotide RNA transcript. It is a transcript of the gene named predicted gene 4491, with no coding region annotated. The record is from RefSeq and is a predicted model, not a curated record. NCBI's taxonomy places the organism in Eukaryota, Metazoa, Chordata, Mammalia, Rodentia, Muridae. The transcript is spliced from 2 exons.
UCUGCACCCGUGGGUUUUUGGGAUGACUGGAUUUCCUGCAUCUCUGCCCUCAACACAAUCCUCUCUGGUGACUUCUUAUUCACAUCUGCACUGUCAAGGUCCCCCAGCCUCCAGGGUCUGCUGCUCUUAAAAGCCACUUGCUUGCCCAAGCCUCUGGGCAUUGCAGAAACUCUCUCUAACCCUGGACUGUCCGUCCUGCCUGUCUUCUCAGCCCGUCCUCUGGACCAGUUCAAAGUGUGCACGGUGGCAGAUUUUCUCUCUGCUCUAUGCAAGCCCACUCCUCCACACUCUCCCUUCCAGCCUGCUCCUGGGCUAUGUAAGCUUUCUGGAGUUCUCCCUGCUACUUCAGGGGUACUUCUCUUGGGGCUCGGGGGUGGGUGGUGGGUGGUGGCGGAGCUGCUCCAUUGUCCCCCGACAUGCGUCACAUAGUGAGAACCCAUAAACGUGUGUUGGAUUGAUCAGCACCCGGAAUACCAAUGCUUUCCUUCCCAACUUUUUGGCUGGCUGUUGGGUAGGGACUAAGGCUCAUUAGCUUCCUAACCCUUACCGUAGGGACUCCAAGACCAGUAAACAGCUUCCUGCCUGCCAGUACUGCGGUUGCCAUGGUUUCUCCCACCCCCUAGGACUACUAGGUGAAUGCUGAUUGACAAACCCGGGGCUGGCCAAGGCCUUUUCAGGAGGACUUGUGGGGGUUGGGGGUUGGUGCCCUAAAAGAAUGUCUUGCAACCCUUCAGCGGGCAGGGCUCAGUGGGAGAGCUGGGGCUUGACAGCCAAGAAUCUCUUUAAAGAUACUAACCAGGAGCAGAGACUCCAUCAUUCAUCAUCUUCUGAAACAUGAAGAAUGUUCUCGCUUAUCUCCUCGGGUACCACAAAAGGUCAGGAGGCAAACUCAUCCCCAGGAGAGAACCAAGUGUCCCCAUUUGCUCUGUGCCUUCACCGGAAAUUAGUACAGACCUCAACAUGGUGUGGUUAUUUGAAUGAAAGGUCUCCUUCCAGUCAGUCUCUCCUCCCAGAAAGGGGGCAGGGAGAGAGCUCUGGCUUAGUAGUUCCUCCUUCUAACCGGGAUUCCCUCCCUUAUACCAAGGGAUCUUUUUCCUCAAGAGGCCACCAUGAUGCUGUACCAGGCAGUAUCCACCCUACAUGGAAGAUGUGUACAACCUCAACUCCUGAGGAGCAGGUACAUAUAGCCAAGCUGUUCUGCCUAUGGCCACCAAGUUGACAAGGGGAAGGACCAGAGACUGUCAGGAGGUAGAGAUGUGGUGAAGGGUGCAGACAGCCUGCCUUUGUUGUCUCUUCAAAGACAUUCCAAGGUGUUGUUUACGUUUUGUUCUCAAAUAUUACAUCUCAGUGUACUGGCCUGGGGAGAAGCAACCUGCUAGGUGACUCAGAACCUACCCAGGGACAAUUUCUUUCCCAGUCCGAGUACUUAUGACUGUCUCCUGAUCCGUUAUCAAAAUUCCAUUGGUAUUUCUUGCCUUUGGAUCCUGUGACACCAAUUUAAACACUUUUAUCUUUACUACCUGUUUAUACCAACACUGAGUUUCAUUUGUUCUUUGUGCGAAGCUUCUUACGGUAGAAAUGUGGGUGAUCAACUUUAAGCUGUCUUCCGUCUUAGACACACACAUGUAAUUCUCUCUCUGUCUGCUUUGCUUAGAGCACAUCCUAAGAUUUUUAUCUUUAUGUUUUUACUUGAUAAAAACAUAUUUCCAUUUGAAAAUUGAAUCUCAGCUAGUCUGUAGACUCAGGCAAAGGAUUCCAAGACCAAGACCAGUCUGGGCAACACUGUGGAAUUUUGACUCAAAACAAAAUAAGAUAAAAAGAAAGUAUAUUAAAUUUCUCUUAUAAUUAAUUUUUAUUCAUAUGUUGUUGUUUAAUUCCCAAAUAUCUGGUAACUUCUAGAUACAUAAUUAUCAAAUUUGGUUCUAUAAACACCCAUAGUUUCCCUUCUUUAUAAUUUAUUGAGACUUGUUUUAUGAUUAAAGAUCUUUGAAGGUGACAGAUAGUGUCUGUGGGAGACAGUUAUGCAUAGAUAAGGUUAUGGGGAUGGGACUCGUGAUGUGCCACAAAUAUUAAUGAUAAGGUUUAGAUCUUCUAUGUCCUUAAUAAUUUUGUGAACAUUUUCUAUGAAUUCUGUUAGUCUAUAAAUACAAAGUUGUCAUUUUACCCUUUAGUAUUUUCAAUGUUUAUUCUUAUGUUUUACAACUCUGGUACGCAGUGAUUCCACAGUCAAUAUGGAUGUCUUCUUGAUGAAAUAAAUGGCCCUUUGCCCAUUUGCA